AUGAAGAUCGUGCUGUGGCGAUUUGCUCACAGCUGCUUGCCUUCGGGUGAGCAAAUGCUUCGACGCCAGGUUCCGACGCGGACCGACUGUUGUUUCUGCGGCCGGCAGGAGAGUGUUGAACAUGCACUGCUGUUCUGUGUACACGCUCGAGCAGUUUGGGAUGUUCUCAAAGGGUCCAUGGGGAUCAAGCUGUCUCGAUCUUCCUUUGCGUCGCCGAAGCAGUGGUUGUUUGAUUUUCUCUCGCGCGGAUCCGAGCGUGAUGCUACUAUAAUGACUGUCAUCUUUUGGCAUAUAUGGGAGGCACGCAACUCUGCUAGGAAUGAACCUGAAGCUCCUCAUCCCCAACGCACGGCUGCAAGGGCGCGUGCUUACUUGGAAAUGAUCUUCCAGCACCUGUACAAGCCUACCUCUGCUUCCAGCUCUAUGUGGUCUCCGCCGCCGCCAGGUACGCUGUUGGUUUCUUCGGACGCUGCUGUUUCACGGGAGCUGGGUAAAUCUUGCGCUGGUGUGGUGGUUCUGGACCACUCCAGUCAAUGCAUAGCUGCUGCUUCUGAACUUCUGAAUGGUGUUACUGAUCCUGAAGUGGCGGAGGCUUGGGCUCUUCGACGGGCGGCGAGGUUGGUUCGAGAUGAGAACUACACUGAUGUGAUCUUUCACUCGGACUGCCUUUCUGUAGUGCAAAGGCUGAAUUCUUCAUCCCGUGACCGCUCCUUUGUGGGAUCAAUUGUUGCUGAUAUUAAGAUGACAACUGGAGCUCUUUCUGAGAUAACCAGAGAUAUUUUAGGACAAAGGCAGGGAGUGCCAUGGGGCGGCUGUACUAGUGAUGCUCUGGUUGAUGUACGACCAUCACCUACAAGAGAGAUUGAGAGAUUGAGGGUUCAGAGCAUGCCAUGGGGCGGCCGUUCAUCCAGCGAGACGAACGACGCCGACGCAUCUAGGGACUAUGCCGGAAGCGGGAGGCACGAUCCGGGCGGCAGCGAAUGGGGCGUCGGCCGCUCUGCGUUUUCUCCUUAUCUGUUCGAGCGUGGGAAACAAAAAGGGGCGUGA
Molecule: ribosomal RNA, 1047 nt
Filed under: Triticum aestivum (bread wheat)
Lineage: Eukaryota; Viridiplantae; Streptophyta; Magnoliopsida; Poales; Poaceae
Description: partial small subunit ribosomal RNA
Source: RNAcentral